This is a long non-coding RNA of Cyanistes caeruleus (blue tit), 271 nucleotides long. RefSeq lists it as uncharacterized. The record is from RefSeq and is a predicted model, not a curated record. NCBI's taxonomy places the organism in Eukaryota, Metazoa, Chordata, Aves, Passeriformes, Paridae.
AUUAUUUUUAAAAGAGUCAGGGCACAGAGGGAUGAUGAGCUUCAGCAUUUUGACAGUUAUCACUAUCUUACAAUGCUUCACAUCUAAUGAAGUCUAAGAGCUUUCCUACACCUUGGAGAUUACAAGCUGUUUGUACAGAUCUAUGUUUAAUAGAAAAGCCAUACAACAAGUCCUCCCGGCCCUGCCUAAAAUACGCAUGACGAAACUCUACAGGACCAUCUCGCUCCAGUUUGACAAUUCCAGAAUCAACAUGGACAACUUUACGGAAGCC